RNAcentral lists this long non-coding RNA (1678 nucleotides) under Anas platyrhynchos platyrhynchos (common mallard). Its description in RNAcentral is "lncRNA (ENSAPLG00000023031.1)". The record is from RNAcentral. Lineage: Eukaryota; Metazoa; Chordata; Aves; Anseriformes; Anatidae.
GCGUGGUGGAAGCCAUGUUCGCAGCUUUGGGUCUGCGGAAAGCACCGUGAGAUGGGUUUUCAAAACCCCUUCUCAAGGUGGUUUUGAACCCAAAAAUGAAGUGCAAGGACCACUGGUCAUUUCUGAAAAUGAAGCCCCAGCUUUUUGGGCACAUUCUCCUUAAAGAAAGAAAGAAAAAAAAAAAAAAAAAGCAAACCCAAAAACUGUACCAGCAAACCGUGAUCUAAAGCAUGCUUUGAAGCCAUGUCAGCCAAACUGUUCCUGACAGAUUUAAAAUAAUUCAAAUAUUCCUUUCAUUUAGGCAAAAUAUUUUUCUCCCAUUCAGGUGGGUGCCUGCUGUCACCUCGGCUGUAGCCCUGGUCCUAUACGCUCUGCUCUUACUGCUCCUUUACAUCAUGCUCAGCAGGAAAAUAGGUAACGUACUGCCUUGUUGCCUUUACCCCUUGUGUCCCUCUUUCCUCCUUGCAAUCCUUCAGCCCAGAGAGUGAAAGUGAUUUGCCCAAAGCCUUGACACCCCCUGUUUCUAAACCACGGCCAGGUUGGUGUCCUGGUUCUGGUUCUUGCUCUCACUCCCACCAGACCCCGUGCCCGGCUUUGGCACUGAUACGGGGCUGAAUCAAGUUAAGGCAGGGCUGAGCAACACGUGCCUGGCUUGUACAGCCCAGAACGCCACGCCAGUCCAAAAACAUUUUCUUUUAUUGCUCUGGUUAGUUAUGUGGUGGGAAAACAGCAUCAGAAUCAAUUUGCAAACUCCUAGUCCAGAUGGAGCUAUGAGUUCCAGCAGGAAAACCUUUCUCACAGAAAUGCUGCCCACAUUAUGCACAAUGUGCGCUCUGCCUGGCCCCGUGGGUCAAACCCAUUUUGACCUUGUGUGGGGAGAGUCCUUGAUGCAGCGAUUUAACUCCAGUCUUCCUUCGCAGGAGAGCAGGGGAAGCACUCCAUCAGCGCAGUAAUUGAAUUGACAGAUAUUUGCCCACGCCAAUACAAAAUAAUAAUUACUGCUGUGCCAGGGCUCGCGGCGCGCUGGCUUUGCUCCAGGGCAGCCCGGGCUUUGGGAGCAGGGGAGGGGACGGGGAGAGAACUGGAGAGAGAAAACACCCAAAAAGGGACCAGGGACAGGGGGGGAUGCAGCAGACAGGGGUCUGGAGCAUGGAGCUGAGCAUUCCCUCACCGCAGACAGCCGCUCCUGCAGCAAGGAGGUGAGCAGCCGUCCUGCAGCACAGCUCCAGCAGCCGUCGACCUCUUCAGCUGGAGGGGAAGGGGCACAACGACCGGCCUACGCAGGUGGUGACGUGCCCUGUUCGGAUGGGAGCAGCGAGACGUCCUCGGAGACCUCGGAGGAGUCGGAGAGCAGCCCCUCCAGCCCGCAGGUACCCAGCCCCCUGCCACCGCCAGGGCAUUUUUGCCCAAAACCACCACAACCGCGGCAGGGAGGGUGCCUCACACCAUGUCCAGGGGCUCCUGGCCCUGCUCGAGACCCCCUGAGCAGGAAAAUGAGGGUGAAUGCGUUGAAAUAACCGAUGGCACCAACGUGGUGGCUGUCACCUGCCUCGUGCAGUGCUCAGAGGGAAAUGUCCCCAUGGGCAGGGGGUGUUGGGGCACAGACAGGGCUAAGGCACCUCGGGGGGGUCGGUGCCUGACCCAGGGCUUGUGGCUGCUUCCUCAGGGCCCUCGGUCA